Molecule: ribosomal RNA, 497 nt
Filed under: uncultured bacterium
Lineage: Bacteria
Description: partial 16S ribosomal RNA
Rfam family: Bacterial small subunit ribosomal RNA
Source: RNAcentral
GAUGAACGCUGGCGGCGUGCCUAAUACAUGCAAGUCGAGCGAACGGACGAGAAGCUUGCUUCUCUGAUGUUAGCGGCGGACGGGUGAGUAACACGUGGAUAACCUACCUAUAAGACUGGGAUAACUUCGGGAAACCGGAGCUAAUACCGGAUAAUAUUUUGAACCGCAUGGUUCAAAAGUGAAAGACGGUCUUGCUGUCACUUAUAGAUGGAUCCGCGCUGCAUUAGCUAGUUGGUAAGGUAACGGCUUACCAAGGCAACGAUGCAUAGCCGACCUGAGAGGGUGAUCGGCCACACUGGAACUGAGACACGGUCCAGACUCCUACGGGAGGCAGCGGUAGGGAAUCUUCCGCAAUGGGCGAAAGCCUGACGGAGCAACGCCGCGUGAGUGAUGAAGGUCUUCGGAUCGUAAAGCUCUGUUAUUAGGGAAGAACAGAUGUGUAAGUAACUGUGCACAUCUUGACGGUACCUAAUCAGAAAGCCACGGCUAACUACGUG